This is a non-coding RNA of Manis javanica (Malayan pangolin), 421 nucleotides long. Lineage: Eukaryota; Metazoa; Chordata; Mammalia; Pholidota; Manidae. The record is from RefSeq and is a predicted model, not a curated record.
GGGGCGGACGCAGACCUGCGGGCGGGGCAGUUCCUGCGGGUCGGAAGGGAAAUAGCUCUGCAAGGUAUUGCUUUUUAUAAAUUCACUUUUGACCACUUCUCCUGUAAAGAGAUCCUAAAAGCGACAACUGGCAAAGUGCUUUGUAGACACCUGUACAGUUUUCCACCUUUAUAUUCUUUGCGAAUAUGCCUCACCUUUUAAAGACACGGAGAUGCUUCUUUGAGACUUCCUAAAAGGUUCUGGCUCUUAUCUGCUGCACCUGUCCACUUUGCCGGUUAUUAAAGUUACGGUGUGGACAGACUUCUGCCUUCAGAUGCCAUUGUGAAGAGCUGAGUGGUGGCAAUGCCCCUUUGACCAGGGCCCGGGAGGCACCAAAGGGGCCACCCUUCCCUUUGCAAUAAAGAAUUUUUCUACUUGCUCA